CAAACUGGCGACUGCCUAACCAUGCGAGUCGUCUCCGAGAGUGGGGCGACUCACUCUCAUUGGCACACGGGUGAGUAACACGUGAAUAACCUGCCUUUGAGAAGGGGAUAACUGUCCCAAAGGAUAGCUAAUACCCUAUAUUGCCUUUUGUCACUAAGGCAAAAGGUGAAAGCGAGGCUGUCAAAGGCUUCGGCUCAAAGAGGGGUUCGCGUCCUAUCAGGUAGUUGGUGGGGUAAUGGCCUACCAAGCCAAUGACGGGUAGCUGGUCUUAGAGGAUAAUCAGCCACAGUGGGACUGAGACACGGCCCGCAAGCCCUACGGGGGGCAGCAGUGGGGAAUCGUGGGCAAUGGGCGCAAGCCUGACCCCGCAAUGCCGCGUGAGGGAAGAAGCCCUUCGGGGUGUAAACCUCUGUCACAUGGGAAGAUGGGACUAGGGGCUAAUACCUCCUAGUCUUGACGGUACCAUCAGAGGAAGGGACCGCUAACUUCUUGCCAUCAGCCGCAGUAAU
RNAcentral lists this ribosomal RNA (509 nucleotides) under uncultured bacterium. RNAcentral describes it as "bacterial SSU rRNA". It matches the Rfam family "Bacterial small subunit ribosomal RNA", at positions 36 to 524 of the family's 1533-position model. The record is from RNAcentral.